RNAcentral lists this non-coding RNA (28 nucleotides) under Bombyx mori (domestic silkworm). The record is from RNAcentral. Lineage: Eukaryota; Metazoa; Arthropoda; Insecta; Lepidoptera; Bombycidae.
UCUCUUUCGCGCUGUGGGCCAGACUGUC